Molecule: long non-coding RNA, 443 nt
Organism: Populus euphratica (Euphrates poplar)
Lineage: Eukaryota; Viridiplantae; Streptophyta; Magnoliopsida; Malpighiales; Salicaceae
Exons: 3
Source: RefSeq, a predicted model, not a curated record
UUUGUUCAAGGUCUUCAUGUCACUAUGCCAUAUCUAUGUCACGUACCAUUAACCAGUUGUAGAAGAUGAAGGUUGUUUCUCAUGUUAUUAAGAGCGGUGGGUGAUUGUCUAAUAAGUGCUUAAGUUUAGAACUCGGUAGAAUCUUUCUUUCAUUUAGCUUACAAAUUUUACUGCAAGAUCAGAUACAGAAAUAAUGUUGGUGUCUUCUAGCGUUGGCAUAUAGGUUUUCUAAUGAAAGGCUUUUUUGGUUACUUGGGGCUGGUGGUUGCUUGGCAGCCUUGCUCAGACAAGAUAAAAAUAAAAAAUAAAAAAUAAAAAAUAAAGCAAAUGGCAAGCGAAGGGCAUCUGCUGUUUUCUUGGUGUCAUUUGGGAAAUUGAUACUACCAGCAUGCUCUAUUGACAUUGCUAUUCAGAGCUGCUUAACAAUUAUAAUGGUUCUCCUG